RNAcentral lists this ribosomal RNA (264 nucleotides) under uncultured bacterium. RNAcentral's name for it is "partial 16S ribosomal RNA". It matches the Rfam family "Bacterial small subunit ribosomal RNA", at positions 793 to 1055 of the family's 1533-position model. The record is from RNAcentral.
GUCCACGCCCUAAACGAUGACAACUAGGUGUUGGGGAAGCGAUUUCUCAGUACCGCAGCUAACGCGUGAAGUUGUCCGCCUGGGGAGUACGGUCGCAAGAUUAAAACUCAAAGGAAUUGACGGGGACCCGCACAAGCGGUGGAUGAUGUGGAUUAAUUCGAUGCAACGCGAAUAACCUUACCUACCCUUGACAUGUACGGAAGCUCAUCGAGAGGUGAGUGUGCCCGAAAGGGAGCCGUAACACAGGUGCUGCAUGGCUGUCGU